UACGUAGGGACCGAGCGUUGUCCGGAUUCAUUGGGCGUAAAGAGCUCGUAGGCGGCUGUUCAAGUCGAACGUGAAAACUCGGAGCUCAACUCCGAGCCUGCGUUCGAUACUGGACGGCUAGAGUCUGGUAGGGGGAUCUGGAAUUCCUGGUGUAGCGGUGGAAUGCGCAGAUAUCAGGAGGAACACCAAUUGCGAAGGCAGCUCGCUGGGACGCUACUGACGCUGAGACGCGAAAGCGUGGGGAGCAAACAGG
Molecule: ribosomal RNA, 253 nt
Filed under: uncultured bacterium
Lineage: Bacteria
Description: partial 16S ribosomal RNA
Rfam family: Bacterial small subunit ribosomal RNA
Source: RNAcentral